UACGAAGGUCCCGAGCGUUGUUCGGAUUUACUGGGCGUAAAGAGUAUGUAGGCGGCAAGGUAAGUCAGAUGUGAAAGCCCAGGGCUCAACCUUGGAACUGCAUCCGAUACUGCCUUGCUUGAGUAAUGGAGGGGUAUCUGGAAUUCACGGUGUAGCAGUGAAAUGCGUAGAUAUCGUGAGGAACACUAGUGGCGAAGGCG
This 200-nucleotide ribosomal RNA is filed under the name uncultured bacterium. Its description in RNAcentral is "partial 16S ribosomal RNA". It matches the Rfam family "Bacterial small subunit ribosomal RNA", at positions 524 to 723 of the family's 1533-position model. The record is from RNAcentral.